GAGUUUGAUCCUGGCGUCAGGAAUGAACGCUAGCUACAGGCUUAACACAUGCAAGGUCGAGGGGAAACGACAUCGAAAGCUUGCUUUUGAUGGGCGUCGACCGGCGGUACGGGUGAGUAACGCGUAUCCAACCUCGCCCACCACUUGGGGAUAACCUUGCGAAAGUAAGACUAAUACCCAAUGAUAUCUCUAGAAGACAUCUGAAAGAGAUUAAAGAUUUAUCGGUGAUGGAUGGGGAUGCGUCUGAUUAGCUUGUUGGCGGGGUAACGGCCCACCAAGGCAACGAUCAGUAGGGGUUCUGAGAGGAAGGUCCCCCACAUUGGAACUGAGACACGGUCCAAACUCCUACGGGAGGCAGCA
This 360-nucleotide ribosomal RNA is filed under the name uncultured bacterium. Its description in RNAcentral is "bacterial SSU rRNA". It matches the Rfam family "Bacterial small subunit ribosomal RNA", at positions 9 to 353 of the family's 1533-position model. The record is from RNAcentral.